Molecule: ribosomal RNA, 1239 nt
Filed under: metagenome
Description: bacterial LSU rRNA
Rfam family: Bacterial large subunit ribosomal RNA
Source: RNAcentral
UGAGUACGAGAUGCUACGGCAUCGAAGCAGUCUAUGUCAUACUUCCAAGAAAAGCUUGCACUGUCAGAAACAGAUAAUGCCUGUACCAUAACCGACACAGGUGGGUAGGUAGAGUAUACUAAGGGGCGCGAGAUAACUCUCUCUAAGGAACUCGGCAAAAUGACUCCGUAACUUCGGGAGAAGGAGUGCCUUAUUUUUAAGGUUGCAAUAACAAGAUCCAAGCAACUGUUUACCAAAAACACAGGUCUCCGCUAAGUCGUAAGACGAUGUAUGGGGGCUGACGCCUGCCCAGUGCCAGAAGGUUAAAGAAGUCGGUUAGCAUUCGCGAAGCUGGUACCUGAAGCCCUGGUGAACGGCGGCCGUAACAAUAACGGUCCUAAGGUAGCGAAAUUCCUUGUCGGGUAAGUUCCGACCCGCACGAAAGGCGUAAUGAUUUGGAUACUGUCUCGGAGAGGGGCUCGGUGAAAUAGACUUGUCUGUGAAGAUGCGGACUACCUGCACCUGGACAGAAAGACCCUAUGAAGCUUUACUGUAACUUGAAAUUGAAAUUGGACUUUAUUUGCGCAGUAUAGGUGGGAGGCGUUGAAAAUAUUCUUGCGGGAAUAUUGGAGCCAUCAGUGAGAUACCACUCUUGUAAUGUUAGAUUCUAACUUUAUAUCAUUAUCUGGUUAAAGAACAGUUUCAGGCGGGCAGUUUGACUGGGGCGGUCGCCUCCCAAAUGGUAACGGAGGCGCACAAAGGUUUCCUCUGAACGGGUAGAAAUCGUAUCUAGAGUGUAAAGGCAUAAGGAAGCUUGACUGUGAGACCUACAAGUCGAGCAGGGACGAAAGUCGGUCUUAGUGAUCUGACGGUGCUGAGUGGAAAGGCCGUCACUCAACGGAUAAAAGUUACUCUAGGAUAACAGGCUGAUCUCCCCCAAGAGUUCACAUCGACGGGGAGGUUUGGCACCUCGAUGUCGGCUCAUCGCAUCCUGGGGCGGUAGUACGUCCCAAGGGUUGGGCUGUUCGCCCAUGAAAGCGGUACGCGAGCUGGGUUCAGAACGUCGUGAGACAGUUCGGUCCAUAUCCGGUGUAGGCGUUAGAAUAUUGAGAGGAGCCUUCUUUAGUACGAGAGGACCGAGAAGGACAUACCUCUGGUGUACCAGUUAUCGUGCCAACGGUAAACGCUGGGUAGCUAUGUAUGGAGUGGAUAACCGCUGAAAGCAUCUAAGUGGGAAGCCCACCUCAAGAUAAGUAUUCU